AAUCCCUCCAAAUUAUUUCCUUCUACUUUUUUGUGCCUAUUUCCUUAUUAGAGGGAUUAAAGAGCAAAAUUAAAGCAAGAUUAGAGAGCCAAACCCUAAAAUACUAAAGGGGCCAAAAUCUAACGAGCAAAAUCUUUUAUUACUCUGGAAGCAAAGAUCACAGGAUUCGUUUCUUGGCAUGGCAACAUGGAUAGACGACCGACGAUGUCGAUGCAACCAGUUGCAGCCAUGGGUGUGGAUGGGUUUUCUCUACCUGAGCAAGAAUACAAAUCUGAGCAUCCAAUUUUUAUUUAUUUAUUUUGCCUUUGCCAUUGCUGUAAUUUUAGGGAUGCGUUUGAAUUCUCGGCCUUUAUUGUCACACUUCCAGGAAAUCUUGUUGCAGUUUCAGCUGUCACUCCAUUGCUGCAUUUUGUGCUAUUAAGUAGCUAGCUGGAAAACACAAGUAGUUACUAUCACACCUGGACUUCAGCUUGCUUAUGGUGUUUGUACUUGAAGGCUUUGUCUUAAAGGUGUAAAUUUCAUUGUGUUAGUUCUUAUCCUUACAAGUGGCAAGCUAAGAUCGAUGUCGAUCAGGCUAAGGUGCAGUUCGAAACGAGGGAGGAGAUAAGGAAGAAACUAUGUGGCUUUGGGUCUCAAAUAGAUAGUGUAGUAGAAGAAUUGUGUAAUGUUAAUAUUUUGAAAUUGAAAUAUAGAAUUAUGUGUAAUUUGAAACCUGUUUUGGAAUCUAAAAUAUUUGGAUUCUUAGCUA
This is a long non-coding RNA of Nicotiana attenuata, 748 nucleotides long. RefSeq lists it as uncharacterized. The transcript has 3 exons. Lineage: Eukaryota; Viridiplantae; Streptophyta; Magnoliopsida; Solanales; Solanaceae. The record is from RefSeq and is a predicted model, not a curated record.